Molecule: small RNA, 691 nt
Filed under: Pongo abelii (Sumatran orangutan)
Lineage: Eukaryota; Metazoa; Chordata; Mammalia; Primates; Hominidae
Description: processed transcript
Source: RNAcentral
GCGUCCAUGGCCACCGCUGCGACUGAGGAGCCCUUCCCUUUUCACGGCCUCCUGCCGAAGAAGGAGACCGGAGCCGCCUCCUUCCUCUGCCGCUACCCCGAGUAUGACGGGCGGGGGGUGCUCAUCGCCGUCCUGGACACUGGGGUCGACCCGGGGGCUCCGGGCAUGCAGGUUACAACUGAUGGAAAACCAAAAAUCGUUGAUAUCAUUGAUACAACAGGAAGUGGCGAUGUAAAUACUGCUACAGAAGUAGAGCCAAAAGAUGGUGAAAUUGUUGGCCUUUCAGGAAGAGUGCUUAAGGUUGAAAUACAAUGGCACAAUCUCGGCUCACCUCAACCUCUGCUUCCUGUAUUCAAGUGAUUCUUCUGCCUCAGCCUCCCGAGUAGCUGGGAUUACAGGCAUGCGCCACAACACUUGGCUAAUUUUUUUUUGUAUUUUUAGUAGAGAUGGAAUUUUGCCAUGUUGGCCAGGCUGGUCUCAAACUCCUGACCUCAAGUGAUCCACCCGCCUCGACCUCCCAAAGUGCUGGUAUUAUAGGCAUGAGCCACCAUCCCUGGCCUCAUUUAUUUUUAAAUAGCUGCAGUAAUCCCAGCUUUAGAUAAACUACAUGAACUAAUAAUAUCACUAGUGUUCAAAGGUAGAAUUAUAUAUGUACCAUAUAUAUUGCUAUUAAAUAAAGUCAAAAAAAGUA